Molecule: long non-coding RNA, 1010 nt
Organism: Aegilops tauschii subsp. strangulata
Lineage: Eukaryota; Viridiplantae; Streptophyta; Magnoliopsida; Poales; Poaceae
Source: RefSeq, a predicted model, not a curated record
CAGGCCGAGCAAGUCCCUCUUGCAGCCACCAACCAAGCACCUCGCCUUCUCGCAGCUCUCCGCCGGCCGGCCGCGCUUCCCCUCCCCUCCCUCACCUCAGGCAGCUCUCGAAUCCUCCCCCAUGAAACACCCAACCCUCUCUCCCUCCCACGAGCCCUCUCACUCUCCAUCUCUCUCCCAAGAGAUCCCUCUCUGCAGCCACAAACAACGGUCAAUUCUAUCCAGGUAUAGUGUCCAUGGCCGGCAUGCAGCACAUCCCCGAGCUCGCCUCCCUCUGUUGUGCCGUCUACUCCGGCCAGAUCCGUCACUCCCUGUCUCCAUAGCUUGUGCCCAAACCCUCCCCAUGGCUAGGGUUUUCGGCACGGCGUCGCCUCCGUCACCGGCGCGGCUCCAAUGUUGCUAGUGGAAUAGCAGAGGAUGAUGAGGAUGAAGACGAGCUCACGCCCUAGCCCGACGAGCUGUAGACCACCAUAAUUUCCACACAAGUCUAGACGUCACUGCACUGGUGUUUGUCGAUGGAGUUUGCUGGGGACGAUCUCGUCGAGGACGUCGAGGAAGCAGCUGUCGCUGGACUCGAUGUCGUCAGGGACGUCGAGGAAGCAGCGGUCAUCAGAGACGAUGUCAUCGAGGACGUCGAGCAAAGAGCGGUCACGCGGUGCUGCCCAUAAAACUCUAGACUGCCUUCGUGCAGGGUCGAAGGAUGUGGCCGGAGUCACGGAGACACCGCUCGCUGGACUAUCAUUGCAUGACGGACAGCACCGCCGGCUUCUUUCAAAAGGCGGCUCAGCACUAGUGGUAUAUGUGGAAGAAGAUGGAGAUGUGUACAUGAUGCUCACUCCCCUUUAUAGGUAUUCUUCAGGACACCUUCCGCGAUGCUCACUGCCCAUUAUGAUAAUUUCCUUUUAGUCAUGUAUACUUCUCACUGCCCAUUAUGAUAAUUUCUUUUUAGUCAUGUAUACUUCUCACUACCCAUUAUGUUAAUCCAUAUAUAAUAUGUGUUGAUCGUUGUA